Molecule: long non-coding RNA, 260 nt
Organism: Amblyraja radiata (thorny skate)
Lineage: Eukaryota; Metazoa; Chordata; Chondrichthyes; Rajiformes; Rajidae
Exons: 3
Source: RefSeq, a predicted model, not a curated record
AUCGUUCAUUGCUUUCGGAUGAUGAUGAUGAUGAUGAUGAUGAUGAUGAAGAUGAUGGUCGUUUUCUGGGUUUUUUGGUUGUUGUGGUGGUCGUGGUUGUUGGUGUGGUCACUGUUGUGGUCGGUGUGGUGACUAAAGUGCUGUCUGUGGUGUCCAGUGUGGUCGGUGUGGUGACUAAAGUGUUGUCUGUGGUGUCCAGUGUGGUCGGAGUGGUGACUAAAGUACUGUCUGUGGUGUCCAGUGUGGUCGUUAAAAUGUUU